RNAcentral lists this long non-coding RNA (528 nucleotides) under Rattus norvegicus (Norway rat). Its description in RNAcentral is "long non-coding RNA NONRATT017895". Lineage: Eukaryota; Metazoa; Chordata; Mammalia; Rodentia; Muridae. The record is from RNAcentral.
AGCUUUGUUCUGUGCUGUCUUUUCCUUCACACCCUGGAUCUGGAGCCCCCGGCAUUGUUCUGUCGGUGGUGGAGAAACAAGAUUACCAGGUGAAAGGACUGGCUGAGAAUCUCCGCGAAGCGCAUCACCUCUGUGAUCACUUUCUCUCCUCUCUCCCUGCUCUGGACUUCACAAGCAUCCAUGCUCAAAGUGGUAAUCUGCAGGCCUCUCUAGGGAUGGCUGCUGGCGAAAAAGAGGGUCCAAGACCAGGAAUGGUGCAGAGAAUCUCCUUGAUUCCUCCAACUUUGGGCCAAUAUUGUGGGAAAUGCACAGGUUCCCUGGACGCUCCCCUCGGAUGGCAGGCCCUUCUGUGAGUUUUACCCACUGUGGGGGCCUGGGUGGGUAGCAGGACGGCAAGCAGCCCAGUAGCAGAGCGGAGAGGGAAUCCCCAGUGUGAGGCUCACCCUGAAGCCGAGUGAUGGUUCUGAGCUCCUGUAUCUGUGCCUCCACAGCUGCUUCACUGUGUAUCUUCAUGGUGGCCCAAAGGCC